RNAcentral lists this long non-coding RNA (933 nucleotides) under Medicago truncatula (barrel medic). RNAcentral describes it as "lncRNA gene27628". The stretch from base 568 to 680 matches the Rfam family "MIR2593 microRNA precursor family". The record is from RNAcentral. Lineage: Eukaryota; Viridiplantae; Streptophyta; Magnoliopsida; Fabales; Fabaceae.
GCCAGAGUAGACCACAAAUAAUACAAAGAGAAACUCAAUGACUUUCCAACUCAGGCAAAAAAUCCAUUAACACAUAAUCGAUUUUGUCGCUCCUCUCUCUCUCUCUCACCAAACACUGCUAAGUUAUCUUUCUCAGGUACUAACACCGUUAAAAUCCCCGUCACUUUCCCGCUUUCUGUUAUUUUUCCUUUACUCUUCAAUUCUUCACUUCCACCAUAAAAUAUCUCCGUCUCACUCCGUUACACUUCGUUUCUUUUACUUUUCUAUUUACCUCAAAUUUCUUGCUUAUUGAACUUUUCUUGACUCUAAUUUCAAGGGUUUUACUGUUAGAGAGUGUAUAUGCAGAGACCAACUACUACCGACGGAGCUAGUAUGGGGAAAAGGGCCCUUGAGGGUGGUGGAGAUGAUGAUCAGCCUGAACGAAAGAGGCCUGCUCUUGCUAGGCACUAAUUCAUUUGCAGCUCUUUAUUCAAUUAUAUGAUUCUAUGAAUUUACUUUGUUUAAUUAACCUUUUUAUUCUAGUUAGUAUUUUAUUUUCAAUUUUAUCACUACUCCCUCUGUUCCAAAAUAUAAGCAAAUUUGACUUUCUAAGUUCAUUCAAUUAAUGAUGUAUGUGGUUCAUAUUAUGGACCACAUACAUCAUUAAUUGAAUGAGCCUAAAAAGUAAAAUUUGCUUAUAUUUAGAAACGGAGGGAGUAUGUUACACUAGCUAGUAACUCUCAGAAAAUUAGUCUGGAAGACCUAGCUCAGCUGACAACAAUACUGAGAUUGUUAGGCGAAAAGAAUGUCAUUGUUAUUGCAAUUAAUCGAUCUGUUUACUUCCAAAGAUGUUUUGCCGUGUUCGUUUUAUCUUUAUUUGUAGUCUUUAAUGACUAAUCAGUUCGAUUACCAUGGUCAAACCUUUUGUUGUCAGUUGUCAUUUUUAAUAAUACU